AGGGGGCAAAGAAAAAAUGCCAGCACCUAAACCAAAAUAUACAUCCUCUCUUCGAGCUUGGGGGGAUGCCCCCUCCCUAUGAUUUGCUCUGAAAUUUGCCAAGCUAUCUUGCUCUUAGCCUGGGGCAAGGGAAAGGCAUUUGACUCAUCAAAGUAUUUGCCUCCAUUUCCCAUCUCUCCUCAGCUGAGAUGCCAACUAAUAAUUUCUGUUGCACUCUUCAUUUCAACACCCCAUUUUCUAAUCCUCUUCCCUGAUUGACAUCUCUGGUCAACAAACAUGGUAAAGCCGGAGAAAGGCAUGGAAAUCAAGACACUGUUUGCCCAGAGUUGCACAUGAACCUGCCUUUGCUCGCAGUUCCAGCCCAUGGCUUAAUCCAAACCAAGACCCAGCCAAAAAUAUCCCCACGUCCAGGGGGACAGAGGAAUUUUUCCUGCGCCUCAGGAAUGUGGGCAUUGCUCUGCAGCACAGGGUUUCUCCACAGCCGACCGAGACCUGAAGCCGACACCACUGAAGCUCUUGCACUGAGCGGUGCUGGAGCCGGGGAAGUGUGCGCAGGGGGUGGGCGAUGGGGCUGCAGCCCCGUGCACGCCAGGAGGUGCACACGGCGGGUUCUGGAAUGUGUUUCGGAUCUCCUCCUCCUCUUCCUCAGAGCUGCAACUCCUGUGAGCAAUGUGCUCUUCUCCCACUUUGGCACAGCAAGGUCAGAAACGGGAAAGAAGCCCAUUUCCCUUCCAGUGUGCCUGGUCACUUGAAAACCAAGGGAAACCAGAGGAAGGAGCAAAAAUAAAGGACAUAGGGCAGCUCCGACCAAUUAAAGGGCAAAGAGUAGGCAAGGGGAGGCAGGCUGGGGAACAAGGAGGUUAUAAGCUGUUGCCAAACCACUGCAAACCCAGUGACAAGAUUAUACUUGGAUGAGGCUCCUGGAAAAACCAGCUGAAGGAGGGAGGCGAAUGUGGCCGGGGAUUAAUGAGCCUGAGAUCCACCGACAGUGCCCGGUGGCUGCUGGAGACGACAGACAGGCCUGAGUCAAUGCGCUUGGAGAGAUGCAGCUACUAAUCCAGCGGCACGGGGGCCUGGAGAGAGGCAGACAGACAGACAGACGUCGUCCAAACCACAGGACACUCCCCAAGGCCUUUCCCACCGUGGAGUCACAGCACUGCUCCCAUGCCAGCAAGGACAAGGAGGUGACAAAACACCCUGGCACUCACUCUUUUUCCUUCAAAGAAAGUCGCAAGGGGUGGUGGACGCUGCCUUUCCAUGCUCGGUGAUAAAGAGGCGAGGAGAGCCGGGUUCAGCUCCUUCCCACCUCCCACAGCAAAGAGGGGAGCGUGCAGCACACCGAAGGGUUUCCAGCCGGGAUUGCUCUACUCGAGAUUUCUUUUUCUCCCACACAACGUGCCGUCCCGUCUGCAGAGAACCGCCGGGCAGAGAACCGCCGGGCAGAGAACCGCUGGGCAGAGAACCGCUGGGCAGAGAACUGCUGGGCAGAGAACCACCGGGCAGCCGCCUUUCUGCUUGGUGACCUGCCCGGCGUGAACUUUCGCCAAGCCAUGGGGCUGCCGAGGGAUGGGGGAGCUCCCCUGCCCCCGACCAGCACCCCCGAGUCCCCAGAAGAGCUGCUGUGGUUAAUUAUGAAGCGAUCAUCAGCCAGACAGCUCUUUGCUGUCCAGGACAAGCUGUGAGCUCAGCCCCAACACUUGUAAAGCUUCUUGCCCCUUGAGCCUUGUUUUGCAUUAUGGCACUAGCUAGGAGGCAGAUUUUUACUAGAUUAUAAAUUAUAUUUCUGCAUAAAGCUUUACAUCUCUGCCUGCAAGUUACUGUGUUGUGGAACACCAUUAGGCUUUUGUGAUUGUGCCCUGGCAGUUCCCUUUGUGCCUCCCCCUCCAGCAAGAAAAACCCGGGUUAUGGAGCAGUCAGGAUGCAACAAAUGCAGCACAAGUCCCAGGUGAAACGUCUCCAGAUUUCUGCACGGUGGCAGACCCCGAAAUAUGUACCUGGAGCUGGCCUGAGCCAGCUGGGCAGCCCGGGGAGGAAGAGCAGCUAAUGGAUCCCACCGGCUCUCACUCAGCAACAAACACCAGUGAAGUGCGAGAGACUAAUUGGACAUUUAACCUAACGCUGGCACAGGAGGCCUCGUGCUGGAGCUGGAGAGAGGGAAGAAAGAUUCACUCCUCAGCUGCAGCUCCUCUAAUAAGCCCUUUGCUGUAACCAGAGACGCCCCGUGUGCCCCACGUCUUCCUACAGACAGUUCUCACCCGGGGGGAUGAUCGCUGGGUGGACGAAGAGGAGGAGAGAGGAGCUUUAUGAGAGCUGACAGGAAUAAAAACAUUCCCCGGUCUG
Molecule: long non-coding RNA, 2340 nt
Organism: Columba livia (rock pigeon)
Lineage: Eukaryota; Metazoa; Chordata; Aves; Columbiformes; Columbidae
Exons: 2
Source: RefSeq, a predicted model, not a curated record